This 561-nucleotide ribosomal RNA is filed under the name uncultured fungus. RNAcentral describes it as "bacterial SSU rRNA". It matches the Rfam family "Bacterial small subunit ribosomal RNA", at positions 107 to 646 of the family's 1533-position model. The record is from RNAcentral. Lineage: Eukaryota; Fungi.
UGAGUACACGUAGGUAAUCUACCUUUGGAUGGGGAAUAACAACCGGAAACGGUUGCUAAUACCGCAUAAUGCAGCGGCACCUAAUGGUGACAGUUGUUAAAGCGGGGGAUCGAAAGACCUCGCGUCUGAAGAGGAGCCUGCGGCGGAUUAGCUAGUUGGUGGGGUAAUGGCUCACCAAGGCGAUGAUCCGUAGCCGGCCUGAGAGGGCGGUCGGCCACACUGACACUGACAUACGGGUCAGACUCCUACGGGAGGCAGCAGUCGGGAAUUGUUCGCAAUGGGCGCAAGCCUGACGACGCAACGCCGCGUGGAGGAUGAAGAUCUUCGUGUCGUAAACUCCUUUCGAUCGAGACGAAUGGCCUCCGGGUGAACAAUCCGGAGGAAUGACGGUACCGAGAGAAGAAGCCCCGGUAACUCCGUGCCAGCAGCCGCGGUAAUACGGGGGGGGCAAGCGUAGUUCGGAAUUACUGGGCGUAAAGGGCUCGUAGGCGGCCAACUAAGUCAGACGUGAAAUCCCCUCGGUUAACCGGGGAAACUGCGUCUGAUACUGGAUGGCUUGAG